RNAcentral lists this ribosomal RNA (494 nucleotides) under uncultured bacterium. Its description in RNAcentral is "partial 16S ribosomal RNA". It matches the Rfam family "Bacterial small subunit ribosomal RNA", at positions 28 to 507 of the family's 1533-position model. The record is from RNAcentral.
GACGAACGCUGGCGGCGUGCUUAACACAUGCAAGUCGAACGGUGAAGCGCCUUCCUUUUUGGUGGGUGUGGAUGAGUGGCGAACGGGUGAGUAGCACGUGAGUAACCUGCCCCCUUCUUCUGGAUAACCGCAUGAAAGUGUGGCUAAUACGGGAUAUUCUGGGUCUGUCGCAUGAUGGGUCUGGGAAAGAUAUUGUUUCGGUGGGGGAUGGGCUCGCGGCCUAUCAGCUUGUUGGUGGGGUGAUGGCCUACCAAGGCGGUGACGGGUAGCCGGCCUGAGAGGGUGGACGGUCACACUGGGACUGAGACACGGCCCAGACUCCUACGGGAGGCAGCAGUGGGGAAUAUUGCACAAUGGGCGCAAGCCUGAUGCAGCGACGCCGCGUGAGGGAUGGAGGCCUGCGGGUUGUGAACCUCUUUCGCCAGUGAAGCAGGCCUGCCUCGUUUGUGGGUGGGUUGACGGUAGCUGGAUAAGAAGCGCCGGCUAACUACGUG